CAUCUUCCAUCACCGGUCUGAGAUUCUAACGCCAAAGAAAGUAACGGAUCCUUUGAAAGAAGCUCUCCAUUCACUUUGUCAGCCUCAGUAUUAUUCAAGGAAGAACUAGACUGAUCCUUUUUAACCUGCAUGAGUUCAACACCCUUCACAGAAGGAUCUAGAGACCGAGAAUUAUAAACAGAUAAUACUUUUGAAGAUCCAUUUGAUUUAGAUUGUGAAACCACAUGUGCUGUUGCAGCUCCUUUAUCAGCCUUUUGAAACGACAUAGCCACGGAUUCAAU
RNAcentral lists this long non-coding RNA (281 nucleotides) under Panax ginseng (ginseng). RNAcentral's name for it is "long non-coding RNA (PGIN_LNC006063)". Lineage: Eukaryota; Viridiplantae; Streptophyta; Magnoliopsida; Apiales; Araliaceae. The record is from RNAcentral.